Manis pentadactyla (Chinese pangolin) is the source of this 72-nucleotide small nucleolar RNA. RefSeq annotates it as small nucleolar RNA SNORD113/SNORD114 family. The transcript has a single exon. The record is from RefSeq and is a predicted model, not a curated record. NCBI's taxonomy places the organism in Eukaryota, Metazoa, Chordata, Mammalia, Pholidota, Manidae.
UGGAUCAAUGAUGACUGUUGGUGCCGUCUGAGUCACGGUUAAUCAAUAUGUGUCUGGAACUCUGAGGUCCAC